Molecule: non-coding RNA, 27 nt
Filed under: Rattus norvegicus (Norway rat)
Lineage: Eukaryota; Metazoa; Chordata; Mammalia; Rodentia; Muridae
Source: RNAcentral
UGCCACAGUUCCAGGUGAAGUUUCUAC